GAUGAAGAACGUAUCGAAAUGCGAUAAGUAAUGUGAAUUGCAGAACUCAGUGAAUCAUCGAAUCUUUGAACGCACAUUGCGCCCGCCAGCACUCUGGCGGGCAUGCCUGUCCGAGCGUCAUUUACCACCCUCGGGCCCCCUUGGGGGCCCGGUGCUGGGGGCACGGCCCAGGCCGCCCCCGAAAUGCAGUGGCGACCCCGCCGCGUCCUCCCCUGCGCAGUAGCACAAUCUCGCACCGGAAGCGCGGAGGCGGUCACGCCUGGAAACGCCCCAACUCAACGCAGUUGACCUCGGAUCAGGUAGGAGUACCCGCUGAACUUAAGCAUAUCAAUAAGCGGAGGA
RNAcentral lists this unclassified non-coding RNA (342 nucleotides) under soil metagenome. RNAcentral describes it as "partial contains 5.8S ribosomal RNA, internal transcribed spacer 2, and large subunit ribosomal RNA". The stretch from base 1 to 120 matches the Rfam family "5.8S ribosomal RNA", at positions 35 to 154 of the family's 154-position model. The record is from RNAcentral.